RNAcentral lists this unclassified non-coding RNA (228 nucleotides) under Glomus sp. RNAcentral describes it as "partial contains 5.8S ribosomal RNA and internal transcribed spacer 2". The stretch from base 1 to 65 matches the Rfam family "5.8S ribosomal RNA", at positions 84 to 154 of the family's 154-position model. Lineage: Eukaryota; Fungi; Glomeromycota; Glomeromycetes; Glomerales; Glomeraceae. The record is from RNAcentral.
GUGAAUCAUCGAAUCUUUGAACGCAAAUUGCACUCUCUUCGGAGAGUAUGCCUGUUUGAGUGUCAGCCUAAAAAAAAUCGACAUCGUUGCUGUUUCGCGGUGGCGUUCGUCGGAAAUUGGGGUAUCUUAAGUCUUUGGUUUAAGUGACUUAAAAUUUUCUUUACGAUUCGAUGAACGUUUCAAUGUUUUUUUUCUUUACACGUUUAAGGUAUCUAUUUAGUUAUGAUU